ACGAACGCUGGCGGCGUGCCUCAUACAUGCAAGUCGAACGCUUCUUUCCUCCCGAGUGCUUGCACUCACUUGGAAAGAGGAGUGGCGGACGGGUGAGUAACACGUGGGUAACCUACCCAUCAGAGGGGGAUAACACUUGGAAACAGGUGCUAAUACCGCAUAACAGUUUAUGCCGCAUGGCAUAAGAGUGAAAGGCGCUUUCGGGUGUCGCUGAUGGAUGGACCCGCGGUGCAUUAGCUAGUUGGUGAGGUAACGGCUCACCAAGGCCACGAUGCAUAGCCGACCUGAGAGGGUGAUCGGCCACACUGGGACUGAGACACGGCCCAGACUCCUAAGGGAGGCAGCAGUAGGGAAUCUUCGGCAAUGGACGAAAGUCUGACCGAGCAACGCCGCGUGAGUGAAGAAGGUUUUCGGAUCGUAAAACUCUGUUGUUAGAGAAGAACAAGGACGUUAGUAACUGAACGUCCCCUGACGGUAUCUAACCAGAAAGCCACGGCUAACUACGUG
Molecule: ribosomal RNA, 507 nt
Filed under: uncultured bacterium
Lineage: Bacteria
Description: partial 16S ribosomal RNA
Rfam family: Bacterial small subunit ribosomal RNA
Source: RNAcentral